UAUCAUUAGUCCACCAGUGCCAAGCAGUGUUGUGUGUCCCACUUCUGUUUUUGGAUGAACAUUAGAACCAAAGCCAUGUCCCCUAGUAAAAUGAACCCAAGCAGCCAAGCAGCUCACUCUGACAUGACGACGGCUAAGUGCAGCAAGUGGACAGGGGCUCCACUAUGGUCAAUAACGAAUUUAUUACAUGAAACAGCCAUCUUCCUGUGGUUGAACCAUCUUUUCUCUCACAUGAAAACUGGAAGGUAAAUUGGAAGACCCCUCCUCAAAAGCUGAUGUACAAGAAGUCAAGAAGAGAGAGAGCGAGAAAGGGAGAGAGCAAGAGAGAGUGGGUGGAGAGCUUUUGAAAAGGAUUGCACUCUGAGCAGCUGGUUAGGUAGCCAAGCGAUGCCAAUAGGAAAACCCUGCCGACUGUAUAUUUCCCCCUCACGCCUGAGGAGCCGUCCCACCCACAGCCGAGUGCCAAAGACACCAUCUGUUAGGAUAAAAAUGGACAUGAAAAUGGAGGCUAAGUCAUCAGAUGCUGUGGCACCGUCCUAUAUAGAAGAUCUGCUUUAACUCUAUCCUGGCUCCAAGUCCUUGAGGUCAUCAAAUCAGCUGCUACUGACUGCGCCAUGGUCUUAGCUGAAACUCAAUGGUGACCAGGCCUUUGCUGUUGCUGUGCCGAGACUGUGGAACAGUCUACCCUUGGACAUUAGGUCUGCACCCUCUAUUGAUGCUUUUAAGUCUAGAUUAAAAACCCUUUUUUAUUGAUCAGCUUUUGUCUUUGUAAACUGAUUGUUUCUGUAUUUUUUUGUUAUACAUUAGAUAUUGUCCUAUGUUGUCCUUUACUUAAAUGCGUUCUCCUUGUACAGCACUUUGGGUUAAAAUGUGCUUUAUAAAUAAAUACUUACUUACAUUAGUGUUCAUGCACAUGUUACUCUACAAUGCUGUAAGAAGAC
This is a long non-coding RNA of Colossoma macropomum (tambaqui), 941 nucleotides long. RefSeq lists it as uncharacterized. The transcript is spliced from 4 exons. The record is from RefSeq and is a predicted model, not a curated record. Lineage: Eukaryota; Metazoa; Chordata; Actinopteri; Characiformes; Serrasalmidae.